RNAcentral lists this ribosomal RNA (375 nucleotides) under uncultured bacterium. RNAcentral describes it as "bacterial SSU rRNA". It matches the Rfam family "Bacterial small subunit ribosomal RNA", at positions 29 to 404 of the family's 1533-position model. The record is from RNAcentral.
AUUGAACGCUGGCGGCAUGCCUUACACAUGCAAGUCGAACGGCAGCACGGGGGCAACCCUGGUGGCGAGUGGCGAACGGGUGAGUAACACAUCGGAACGUGCCCAGUAGUGGGGGAGUAGCUCGGCGAAAGCCGGAUUAAUACCGCAUACGACCUACGGGUGAAAGCGGGGAGUCGCAAGACCUCGCGCUAUUGGAGCGGCCGAUGUCAGAUUAGGUUGUUGGUGGGGUAAAGGCCUACCAAGCCGACGAUCUGUAGCUGGUCUGAGAGGACGACCAGCCACACUGGGACUGAGACACGGCCCAGACUCCUACGGGAGGCAGCAGUGGGGAAUUUUGGACAAUGGGCGCAAGCCUGAUCCAGCCAUGCCGCGUGC